Molecule: non-coding RNA, 471 nt
Organism: Paramuricea clavata
Lineage: Eukaryota; Metazoa; Cnidaria; Anthozoa; Malacalcyonacea; Plexauridae
Source: the annotation of a GenBank genome assembly
CGGAAAACGUUCACAAAUUAUAUUGUGUUGUAAUGGUCAGUAUAGUAUAUAGAAGACCGCUCAAUACAAAACUCCUUCGUAGAGAAAAAUAUCAUGUAGUUUUAUAUCCUGUAUAUAUUGUACAUUAUACAAAGUAUUUACAUUCAACUAAAGUAUAGUUUAACUUAGUUUUAACUUAAAAAGUGGCUUUCUUUCGCAUAUUUGGUGAUCAAACAAUGCAUGCAAUCACUUCUAGCCCCACUCAACUUUUGGUAACUUUGGGUAUCCCCCUAGGGGAGGUGGUAACAUAGAGGGAGGUAAUUGAGGCAAUGGUGGAAGAUUCGCUGGCAAUGUAAAUGUUUGUGUAUCAUCUUCGUUAGCUAUGUUCGUUUCCUUGCCAUCCUCAGACCCCUUAUUGCCUUGCUGAUAUUUUCGUUUCUUCUCCCAUCUAGCCAGCCAAACACCGAGUUUCGGUUCACUUUUAGAAGUACU